GAAACGACUGCUAAGACUGGAUAGGAGAUAAGAAGGCAUCUUCUUAUUUUUAAAAGACCUAGCAAUAGGUAUGCUUAAGGAGGGGCUUGCGUCACAUUAGUUAGUUGGUAGGGUAAAAGCCUACCAAGACGAUGAUGUGUAGCCGGGCUGAGAGGCUGAACGGCCACAUUGGAACUGAGACACGGUCCAAACUCCUACGGGAGGCAGCAGUAGGGAAUUUUCGGCAAUGGAGGAAACUCUGACCGAGCAACGCCGCGUGAACGAUGAAGUAUUUCGGUACGUAAAGUUCUUUUAUUAGGGAAGAAAAGAUGGUGGAAAAACCAUUAUGACGGUACUUAAUGAAUAAGCCCCGGCUAACUAUGUGCCAGCAGCCGCGGUAAUACAUAGGGGGCGAGCGUUAUCCGGAAUUAUUGGGCGUAAAGGGUGCGUAGGCGGUUUAAUAAGUUUAUGGUCUAAGUGCAAUGCUUAACAUUGUGAUGCUAUAAAAACUGUUUGACUAGAGUUGGAUAGAGGCAAGUGGAAUUCCAUGUGUAGCGGUAAAAUGCGUAAAUAUAUGGAGGAACACCAUGAGCGAAGGCGGCUUGCUGGGUCUUAACUGACGCUGAGGCACGAAAGCGUGGGGAGCAAACAGGAUUAGAUACCCUGGUAGUCCACGCCGUAAACGAUGAGUACUAGAUGUUGGGUUAAACCAGUGUCGAAGUUAACACAUUAAGUACUCCGCCUGAGUAGUACGUACGCAAGUAUGAAACUUAAAGGAAUUGACGGGACUCCGCACAAGCGGUGGAUCAUGUUGUUUAAUUCGAAGGUACCCGAAAAACCUCACCAGGUCUUGACAUGCUUCUGCAAAGUUGUAGAAAUACAGUGGAGGUUAUCAGUUGCACAGGUGGUGCAUGGUUGUCGUCAGCUCGUGUCGUGAGAUGUUGGGUUAAGUCCCGCAACGAGCGCAACCCUCGUUGUUAAUUGCCAUCAUUAAGUUGGGGACUUUAGCAAGACUGUCAGUGAUAAAUUGGAGGAAGGUGGGGACGACGUCAAAUCAUCAUGCCCCUUAUGACCUGGGCUACAAACGUGAUACAAUGGCUGUUACAAAGGGUAGCUGAAGCGCAAGCUUUUGGCAAAUCUCAAAAAAACAGUCUCAGUUCGGAUUGAAGUCUGCAACUCGACUUCAUGAAGUUGGAAUCGCUAGUAAUCGCGAAUCAGCAUGUCGCGGUGAAUACGUUCUCGGGGUUUGUACACACCGCCCGUCA
Molecule: ribosomal RNA, 1244 nt
Filed under: Broccoli stunt phytoplasma
Lineage: Bacteria; Bacillati; Mycoplasmatota; Mollicutes; Acholeplasmatales; Acholeplasmataceae
Description: bacterial SSU rRNA
Rfam family: Bacterial small subunit ribosomal RNA
Source: RNAcentral